AACGAACGCUGGCGGCAUGCCUAACACAUGCAAGUCGAACGAGACCUUCGGGUCUAGUGGCGCACGGGUGCGUAACGCGUGGGAACCUGCCCUUAGGUUCGGAAUAACUCCCCGAAAGGGGUGCUAAUACCGGAUAAUGUCUUCGGACCAAAGAUUUAUCGCCUUUGGAUGGGCCCGCGUUGGAUUAGCUAGUUGGUAGGGUAAAAGCCUACCAAGGCGACGAUCCAUAGCUGGUCUGAGAGGAUGAUCAGCCACACUGGGACUGAGACACGGCCCAGACUCCUACGGGAGGGAGCAGUGGGGAAUAUUGGACAAGGGGCGAAAGCCUGAUACAGCAAUGCCGGGUAAGUGAUGAAGGCCUUAGGGUUGUAAAGCUCUCUUACCCGGGAUGAUAAUGACAGUACCGGGAGAAUAAGCUCCGGCUAACUCCGUG
Molecule: ribosomal RNA, 433 nt
Filed under: uncultured bacterium
Lineage: Bacteria
Description: partial 16S ribosomal RNA
Rfam family: Bacterial small subunit ribosomal RNA
Source: RNAcentral